UACAGAGGUGGCAAGCGUUGUUCGGAAUUACUGGGCGUAAAGGGCGCGUAGGCGGUCUUGUAAGUCCUGUGUGAAAUCCCUCGGCUCAACUGAGGAACUGCACGGGAAACUGCUUGGCUUGAGUUCGGGAGAGGGAAGCGGAAUUCCGGGUGUAGCGGUGAAAUGCGUAGAUAUCCGGAGGAACACCGGUGGCGAAGGCGGCUCACUGGCCCGGUACUGACGCUGAGGUGCGAAAGCGUGGGGAGCAAACAGG
Molecule: ribosomal RNA, 253 nt
Filed under: uncultured bacterium
Lineage: Bacteria
Description: partial 16S ribosomal RNA
Rfam family: Bacterial small subunit ribosomal RNA
Source: RNAcentral